GCUCUUUUUCCUUUGCAAUCCUUCCCUUUUUCUCUCUUUUUCAUUUUCUUUUUCUUUUGUUCUAGUCUUUCUAUAGCCGUUGCUUCUGCACUAGAGUUCUUUCCAUGGCUGUUUUCCGUUAGCGUCCCGUUAAACGCCGUUGGGUGUUGUGCAUUGCAUUGUCGUUAAGCGCGUAACCUCUGUUAGGUUUCUGUCAGGUUCCUUGUACUUCCGUGACACAUAGCGUUUGGUGUGUGAUUAGAGUGUCCACCGUGUUUGGUAUGUGUCGCUCUAAGUUUUUACGUGGGAUAAACAAGCCCCAUCCCCAUCUGACAUGCUGACUCAUGUCUCUUCGUUCGUCGUUCAUGAAACAAACAGGAUGAUGUUCUGGAAAACAGCAGAGCGAGUGCGAUCGAGAUCAAUUUCUGAGGGUAUAUAGAACUGAUGAGCUUGCAGCAUAUUCGAUCGAUGGCUUGCUGCGAUUAAAUGUGGAAGGCGGUUGAAGUACAGGAGAAUUUAAGAGAUGAGGUGGACCAUGCAUGGUGAUUUCACAUCAAAUCAAAUAAACAUAUGAUUCCAAAUAUGCAAUAGCGAUAUAGUUUGGAAGCAUCGAGGGACCAUUCAUUAUAUAUACAUACACAUUGGGGUAUCAAA
This is a long non-coding RNA of Pyrus x bretschneideri (Chinese white pear), 633 nucleotides long. RefSeq lists it as uncharacterized. Lineage: Eukaryota; Viridiplantae; Streptophyta; Magnoliopsida; Rosales; Rosaceae. The transcript has 3 exons. The record is from RefSeq and is a predicted model, not a curated record.